GAUGAAGAACGUAGCGAAAUGCGAUAAUUAAUGUGAAUUGCAGAAUUCCGUGAAUCAUCGAGUCUUUGAACGCACAUUGCGCCUCAUGGCAUUCCGUGAGGCAUGCCCAUCUCAGCGUUAGAAAAUAUUCUCAAAUUUUAGUUUUGUGCUAAAAUUUGGAUCAUGUCAAGGAAGCUAUUACUAUUAUUGUGAUCGCUCUUUGGAAAUUGAUAGGUCUUUGAGUUGCUACUCAUAGAACGUGAUGAAUCUUUCUUCGUUCUAUUGUAAUUCACUCUCGUAGUCCUAAAACUUGUAUGCCUGUGGCAUAUCUUGUAAUUUGACCUGAGAUUGGGUAGGGAUACCCGCUGAACUUAAGCAUAUCAAUAAGCGGAGGA
Molecule: unclassified non-coding RNA, 374 nt
Filed under: soil metagenome
Description: partial contains internal transcribed spacer 2 and large subunit ribosomal RNA
Rfam family: 5.8S ribosomal RNA (bases 1-120)
Source: RNAcentral